CCUACGGGAGGCAGCAGUGGGGAAUAUUGGGCAAUGGGCGCAAGCCUGACCCAGCAACGCCGCGUGAAGGAAGAAGGCUUUCGGGUUGUAAACUUCUUUUCUCAGGGACGAAGCAAGUGACGGUACCUGAGGAAUAAGCAACGGCUAACGACGUGCAAGCAGCCGCGGUAAUACGGAGUUGGCAAGCGUUAUCCGGAUUUACUGGGUGUAAAGGGCGUGUAGGCGGGACUGCAAGUCAGAUGUGAAAACCACGGGCUCAACCUGUGGCCUGCAUUUGAAACUGUAGUGCUUGAGUACUGGAGAGGCAGACGGAAUUCCUAGUGUAGCGGUGAAAUGCGUAGAUAUUAGGAGGAACACCAGUGGCGAAGGCGGUCUGCUGGACAGCAACUGACGCUGAGGCGCGAAAGCGUGGGGAGCAAACAGGAUUAGAUACCCUUGUAGUC
This 443-nucleotide ribosomal RNA is filed under the name uncultured bacterium. RNAcentral's name for it is "partial 16S ribosomal RNA". It matches the Rfam family "Bacterial small subunit ribosomal RNA", at positions 338 to 795 of the family's 1533-position model. The record is from RNAcentral.